AGAGUUUGAUCCUAGCUCAGGGUGAAUGCUGGCGGCGUGGAUAAGGCAUGCAAGUCGAGUGGGUUUAGACCCACGGCAGACGAGGUAGUAACACGUAGGAACGUACCCCGAAGUCUGGGAUAUUCUGUCGAAAGACAGCGCAAUACCAGAUGGUCUCUAAGGAGUAAAGAUUUAUCGCUUCGGGAGAGGCCUGCGCAAUAUCAGCUAGUUGGUGAGGUAAUGGCUCACCAAGGCUAUGACGUUUAGGGGAGCUGAGAGGCUGACCCCCACCGAUGGAACUGAGAUACGGUCCUUACUCCUACGGGAGGCCGCAGUCGAGAAUCUUCCGCAAUGGACGAAAGUCUGACGGAGCGACGCCGCGUGGUGGAUGAAGUCCCUCUGGGACGUAAACACCUUUUAUAGGGGAUGAAGUUUUGACAGUACCCUAAGAAUAAGGGGCUCCUAACUCUGUGCCAGCAGGAGCGGUAAUACAGAGGCCCCAAGCAUUACCCGGAAUCACUGGGCGUAAAGGGUGCGUAGGUGGCGUGAUUAGUCCUUCUUUAAAUUCCUCGGGCUCAACCCGAAGACUCGGAGGGAAACGGUCAUGCUGGAGGGUGUACGAGGUGUGUAGAACUCUAGGUGUAGGGGUGAAAUCCGUUGAUAUCUAGGGGAAUACCAAAUGCGAAGGCAGCACACUGGGACAUUCCUGACACUGAGGCACGAAAGCGUGGGUAGCGAAAAGGAUUAGAUACCCUUGUAGUCCACGCCCUAAACUAUGUUCUCUGGCUUUGAGGAGUAUCGACCCUCUUCGAGGCGAAGCUAACGCGUUAAGAGAACCGCCUGGGUAGUACGAUCGCAAGAUUAAAACUCAAAGGAAUAGACGGGAACUCGCACAAGUAGUGGAUCAUGUGGCUUAAUUCGUAGGUAAGCGAAGAACCUUACCAAGACUUGAAACCUAGCUGCACGGCCUCCGAAAGGAGAUCAGCCUUCGAGGGUGCUAGGCAGGUGGUGCAUGGUCGUCGUCAGUUCGUGGCUUGAGCUGUUCCCUUAAGUGGGGAAACGAACGCAACCCCCGUUGCCUGUUUUAAAUGUCAGGCGAGACUGCUCCCUCACGGGAGAGGAAGGUGGGGAUGACGCCAGAUCAGCAUGCCCCUCUGAUGUCUUGGGCUGCACACGUGAUACAAUGGCAACAACAAAGAGACGCAAGACGGUAACGUGGAGCAAAUCUCAAAAUGUUGCCUCAGUACGGAUUGAGGUCUGCAACCCGACCUCAUGGAGCUGGAAUUACUAGUAAUCGUGGGUCAGCCAUACCACGGUGAAUACGUUCUCGAGUUUUGUACUCACCGCCCAUCAACUCAAGGGAGCCGGGAAUAUCCGACGCUCGCGUUUAUCGCGGUCCACGGUAAGUUCGGUGACAGGGAGUAAGUUGUAACAAGGCA
Molecule: ribosomal RNA, 1418 nt
Filed under: metagenome
Description: bacterial SSU rRNA
Rfam family: Bacterial small subunit ribosomal RNA
Source: RNAcentral